Molecule: ribosomal RNA, 301 nt
Filed under: uncultured bacterium
Lineage: Bacteria
Description: partial 16S ribosomal RNA
Rfam family: Bacterial small subunit ribosomal RNA
Source: RNAcentral
CAGUCGCCGCGGGAAUACGGAGAGUGCAAGCGUUAAUCGGAAUUACUGGGCGUAAAGCGCACGCAGGCGGUCUGUCAAGUCAGAUGUGAAAUCCCCGGGCUUAACCUGAGAACUGCAUUUGAAACUGGCAGGCUAGAGUCUUGUAGAGGGGGGUAGAAUUCCAGGUGUAGCGGUGAAAUGCGUAGAGAUCUGGAGGAAUACCGGUGGCGAAGGCGGCCCCCUGGACAAAGACUGACGCUCAGGUGCGAAAGCGUGGGGAGCAAACAGGAUUAGAUACCUCCGUAGUCCCUGUCUCUUAUAA